Molecule: ribosomal RNA, 497 nt
Filed under: uncultured bacterium
Lineage: Bacteria
Description: partial 16S ribosomal RNA
Rfam family: Bacterial small subunit ribosomal RNA
Source: RNAcentral
GAUGAACGCUGGCGGCGUGCCUAAUACAUGCAAGUCGAGCGAACAGACGAGGAGCUUGCUCCUCUGACGUUAUCGGCGGACGGGUGAGUAACACGUGGAUAACCUACCUAUAAGACUGGGAUAACUUCGGGAAACCGGAGCUAAUACCGGAUAAUAUAUUGAACCGCAUGGUUCAAUAGUGAAAGACGGUUUUGCUGUCACUUAUAGAUGGAUCCGCGCCGCAUUAGCUAGUUGGUAAGGUAACGGCUUACCAAGGCAACGAUGCGUAGCCGACCUGAGAGGGUGAUCGGCCAAACUGGAACUGAGACACGGUCCAGAAUCCUACGGGAGGCAGCAGUAGGGAAUCUUCAGCAAUGGGCGAAAGCCUGACGGAGCAACGCCGCGUGAGUGAUGAAGGUCUUCGGAUCGUAAAACUCUGUUAUUAGGGAAGAACAAAUGUGUAAGUAACUAUGCACGUCUUGACGGUACCUAAUCAGAAAGCCACGGCUAACUACGUG